This 253-nucleotide ribosomal RNA is filed under the name uncultured bacterium. Its description in RNAcentral is "partial 16S ribosomal RNA". It matches the Rfam family "Bacterial small subunit ribosomal RNA", at positions 524 to 776 of the family's 1533-position model. The record is from RNAcentral.
UACGAAGGGGGCUAGCGUUGUUCGGAAUCACUGGGCGUAAAGGGCGCGUAGGCGGCUUUUCAAGUCGGGGGUGAAAGCCUGUGGCUCAACCACAGAAUUGCCUUCGAUACUGUUAGGCUUGAGACCGGAAGAGGUGAGUGGAACUGCGAGUGUAGAGGUGAAAUUCGUAGAUAUUAGGAAGAACACCAGUGGCGAAGGCGGCUCACUGGUCCGGUACUGACGCUGAGGUGCGAAAGCGUGGGGAGCAAACAGG